GCAGUGUUUGUAACCUUUAUCUUUCCCACUUCUCAGCUGUCGCUUUACCAACAGGAGCCUCUACCUUUGCGGAGUUGGGAAAAGACAAACAGUUCUGUUUCCUUAAGCUAGGCUUACAAUCGAAGGGCCAGCUGUUCACUUUACAAUCUAUCCCAGCAUCCUCAGCUCCAAUAACUGCCAGUUGAUGCUUGCCUGUCCCAGUGGAAUUAAUGGAAGCUGUCAACAGCCCGCCCCCGACCUCACUGGAUAUAACUGUGUCCUCGGCAGACGAGAGAAUAACCAGAGGAAGGGCUGAAAAUCCUGGAGAACACCAACAUUAACAAGCUUCAGUUUGUCAGAACCAGUUGGGAUGCAACAGGAUUUUCAGUUUUGCUGCCUUCCAUGCAUGAAUGGCUGUUGGAAUGACCAAGAUGAUUUUUCCACCCAUUCUUGGGACCUGGACUAUGAUGGCCACAGCAGCUAAAGAUGCCAGAUACUCCUUCAGGUUCUGCAUACUAUGAAACUACUACAUCAGCAGGUCCAAAGGACUCCACUGACUCAACUGAUCUGAGGGACCCCAUGAGAAGCCUACUCAUCAAAGAAUGCAGUUUCUAAAUCCUGAUGAGUUCACCCCCCUUGCCCUGACCAAUCAACAAUCCUAAUUCUCCAGUCCCUUGCCCUCCAUGAUCCUCUUAAAAACCCUAGCCCAGAAUUCCUCAGGAAGAUGGAUUUGAGGGUCUCCUUCCAACUCCUCACUCAGCGCCCUGUGGUCA
RNAcentral lists this long non-coding RNA (752 nucleotides) under Homo sapiens (human). RNAcentral's name for it is "HSALNT0367446". Lineage: Eukaryota; Metazoa; Chordata; Mammalia; Primates; Hominidae. The record is from RNAcentral.